Molecule: ribosomal RNA, 457 nt
Filed under: uncultured Comamonadaceae bacterium
Lineage: Bacteria; Pseudomonadati; Pseudomonadota; Betaproteobacteria; Burkholderiales; Comamonadaceae
Description: bacterial SSU rRNA
Rfam family: Bacterial small subunit ribosomal RNA
Source: RNAcentral
CGGGUGGCAGCAGUGGGGAAUUUUGGACAAUGGGCGCAAGCCUGAUCCAGCAAUGCCGCGUGCAGGAAGAAGGCCUUCGGGUUGUAAACUGCUUUUGUCAGGGAAGAAAUCCUGUGGGUUAAUACCUCGUGGGGAUGACGGUACCUGAAGAAUAAGCACCGGCUAACUACGUGCCAGCAGCCGCGGUAAUACGUAGGGUGCGAGCGUUAAUCGGAAUUACUGGGCGUAAAGCGUGCGCAGGCGGUUGUGCAAGACAGGUGUGAAAUCCCCGGGCUUAACCUGGGAACUGCACUUGUGACUGCACGGCUAGAGUACGGUAGAGGGGGAUGGAAUUCCGCGUGUAGCAGUGAAAUGCGUAGAUAUGCGGAGGAACACCGAUGGCGAAGGCAAUCCCCUGGACCUGUACUGACGCUCAUGCACGAAAGCGUGGGGAGCAAACAGGAUUAGAUACCCGAGU